This is a long non-coding RNA of Ornithorhynchus anatinus (platypus), 2682 nucleotides long. RefSeq lists it as uncharacterized. Lineage: Eukaryota; Metazoa; Chordata; Mammalia; Monotremata; Ornithorhynchidae. The transcript is spliced from 10 exons. The record is from RefSeq and is a predicted model, not a curated record.
ACAAAAAACCCAGGGAGAACCCCCUGAAAUACAACUUCAAAUGAUCCCAUUUCACUGCGCGCAGCUGGGAAACAGCAGCAGCAGCAGGACAGUCCAACCUGGUGUGAGGCAAUCAGAGAUGAGAAGCACCUUUCAAGUUAAUAUGGAAAUGGCAAAGCUGCACACGGCAUAGGUUCUUCAAACAGCGGCUUUGCCCGGUAGAUUUGGAGACCGGCCAACCGAGAGCGGAGAUGACAGCAAAGGCCAUUUCGACGGUUCGGAGCGACCGUACACCGAUGGGUAAAGGCAAGACUGCAAGGGGAAGAACGGCUGUGUCCUGUUGACCUCGAGCCUCCGGUGAUGGAAGCUGCUGCUGCCGUUCCUUUGAGGAAGUGGCCCUGGUCUCAUGAAUUGUGGAAUGAGAGGCCAACAGCAAUGAGGUCAGGAUUGAAUGGGGAAUUUUAACUCUGUACAAGAGGGAACUGGACCUUGAUGAGCAGAGGAGGAGUUCAGCAAAAGCUUUCACCCUCUGAGGAGACUUCUAAGUGACCUUGAAGAUAUAGCACAGUUUUGUGGAUUAACAAUAAGUCCGAGGAUAUACCGGAGUCUGCACUCAAGCAGCCUUAGGAGCAACUGAAGAUUUUUAUCUAAAACAGAGCUAAAUCUCUGCAUUUAAUUCUGCUACUUGGACCACAAACUGAUAACUGUAGGGGAAGAAACGUGAAUCAAGAAGAUUACAAGAAAAUCCAAUAUUGAUAUUCAUCUAGCGAAAAAAAGAGAAGGACUGUGGCUCUCCAUCAAAUCCAGAUCUGUUUUUAAGAACAAGAUAGAGCCAAGAGCAUCAGCGCCUGGCUAUUUCAAAUUGCCUUUCUUCAUCACAGGGAGACAGGCUACGUGUUGUCGAUCCUGCCCGGCCUGGAUAUCAGCCUACGGACUGCGAGGAAGCCUCUUCAGGAGCCAGAGGUGCCUUCGGACAUCUAUAGACGGGACAAAAUCAGCGCUACCCUCGAUCAGCUGCUCAUCGCGGAAGACAAGUCACCCACCUCAAGUUUGCACUUGUUUGAGGGGCAGGUGGUUUCAGCGGGACACUGAACGGAAAGUCAGGUGAAGAACCCAAGAUGGAACAAAACAGUCCGUCCACUGGAGACUGCACAAAUCUCACGAUCAGGACACCGAAGCACACAGAAGGAGCUGCCUGCCCCAGGUCACAUAGCAGACAGUGGUACAGCCGGAAUUCGAACUCAGGUUGGUGCGGACACCUACAGAAAACUUUCAAAAUAUUACCUUGAUCAGCUUUGGAAAGAGAGAUUUGGGAUUUGUAGCUGGCGUUGGCAGACGAAACAUUAACAUGUCAUCGACUGUUUUCCCAAAGUAAAACUUUCUCAAGUUGCUAUGGUUGAUGCAUCUCUGCAGAUCCGACACCAAAAGCCCUGCUGCUUCUCUACAGUGCGUGCCGCUGUCAGGAUGGCAAAGUCUGAGUCCAGCAACAUUCUCCCCGUCUCCACGGGACUUGGUUGAGACAGAGGGUCAGACAGGAGGUUCCCAAGAUGUGGAGUGUCCCCUGUGGGAAUUGCUGUCCAGUGCAAAAGACAAAAGGUGAAGGAGAGUUCAGGAACCACGGCUCCAUGGAAAUUUCUGCUCAGCUGCGCCACAGGAGCAGGAGAGAGACUGAGCUGAGGAAGGAAGAGGUGAUUAUCCCUUUUCUACCAUUAUCCAUCACAAGGUACUUGAAAUGAGAACCGACAGCCCUCUGCCGAAACCGUGAGUUCCGAACUAACAAAACCAACCUUCCCUGGCGAACCAGCAUUACUGUGGCUCAUUUCAUCAAGUGACCAAAAUUACAAAACUCACGGUUGGGGACCAUGCCCAGCAACUCUACUGAACCAUAAUUCCAAGUUCUCUGCACAUAGUAAGAGCUCAAUAAAUACCCCCGAAGGAAAAUGACCAAGAGAAGAAUCUCCUUGGUAUUCCGGGCACCUAUUCCUCUUUACACCACCCCGCAAAAUGAUUUCUCUGAGGCCGGCAGGAGGUUUGUGGAUUGGAGAUUUAAUAACUUGUGUGGGCGUUGGCUGUAUCGGAGGCAAAGCAACCAACAAAUAUCGCAUCCUGGAAAUGCUGAGUAGGACCUGCUGCUCAACUAGCAGGAGUGCUAACCUUGGGCUUCUUGGUCUCUCUGGACCCCUGAACUGUGUCAGUGCCGUGAUUAAGUCCGUCAGAGAUGACCUCUCUCGUACCGUAGCAUAGUGGAUUGACGGUUUGAAGAAUGAGCAGCAGGAGAGACCAGGGAACGUGAGGAGACGGGGGAAAGACAAGAGGAAUUUGGGGUGAUGCUCAUUAGAAUGCCCAUUAAGUUCAGAUAAUUAGCAAUAGGAACCCCCAGAGAGAGACAGAGAAGCACGAGGAUUAAAAACACAGCCAGAUCUUCUGUGCCAUCCCAUUUGGGUCUCCUCUGCAACUUGGCUAGUGUUAAAGGGGGAAGGAAUGAGAUCUCACCUAGGAGCUGACACCAGACUUUUCUUCCUGCUGACUUGCCCUUGUGUGGGUGUUUCACAAAAACAAUGCUUAUGGUUCUUUUUUUUUCCUCCAGAACCGAUGAACGUGUUGGAUGUCAGGCGGUCGGACUUUUUCCUUCAAGCAGUCGUAAACCCAAUGGGGAAUGUUGCUUGAAAAAUAAAUGGUGGGCUGUGGCCGUAUUUGUUAGCA